UCAAGGAAUCAUUAAAAAGAAGGAAUCUAAGACUAUUUUAAAAAUUUCUCUCAAUGAUUUAAUAUUUGGGUUUUAUGUAUUUUAUUCCAUUUUAGCACUGUGAGAUAGCAUGAUUGCCUAAAGGACUGUAUUAAAGAUGAGUGCACAGUUCUGUCUUAUUUAUCUGCUGUCACAUUGUUUUGACACAGAAGAAAGUCAAGUAACAUUGAUGAAGAGCUAAAAUAUGCUCUAACUGUGGAAAAAAUAAAUAUAAAUUGUCCAUAGUUGCUCAAUUUCUAAAGUAAAAGGAAAAAAUACAGUGUAAGACUGUGAAUUAGUUCAGGAAGGUAAACUUAAGUAAUGUUUAUUUAACUUCAAGAUUUCAGUGGCUUAACUCAACAAAGGUCUGCUUCUUCUGCAUGUCACGGGACAAUGCUGGUUGGUAUGGAUGGCUCUUCUCCAUGCAGUAAUUCAGAGACACAGGCUUCUUUCAUCUAGUGAUUUAUUUUUCCCUGCAGCUUCAGAUACUCUUUUUCCCUCUCUCUGGGAUCCUUUGCAUCUGUCUGGCAGAUAUGGAGACGGAAAGCACAAGAGGAUUGUGUUAGGAGUCUUAAGGGCUGGAUGUGACACUCCUUGAAAGGGAAGCUGGGGAAUGAGUAUGUAGGUGUGUGUCCAGGAUGUAGGGAAAAUGGGUUUGGUGGGGACAGCACUUCCUGGAAUAACGUUGCUUUGGAUUUAACAACAGUUGGGCAAAGGAGGUCGGUAUACAGAUACAGGACAAGAAGAGUGGUGUCAAAGGGAGGCUAAAUCAUUGGUUCUGGCUUCAUCUAAGGAAUUCUUAUGAGAAAUCGAGGGAGAGACUGUCCUGGGAAGUCUGAUGAAACAUGAUCAAGAUAUUUUAACUUCUGUGUUUAGCGCCUUUAAUAGAUUGAGCUAAGAAGUCUAAGCAAUCUUCAGGGCUAAGAAACAAGCUGCACUUGCCAGAGUUGGAUGUUCACACCUUGGUGAUGGCUGAUAUUAAACAGAAUUCUUAAUGAACAAAUCGGCCUUGAAAAGGGAACAUGGUGAAGCAAGACAAAAGAAUUACAAACUUUGACUGAAACUUUCUCCUACCAGGAAUACAGGGACCGCUCACCAGGUUGUGAUGAGAAGGAUCAUCUGAAAUGCUCCAUUGCUCUCAGAAGUUGAGGUAACUUCAUUGGGCCCAAACUGAUAAACUAGGAAUGGCUCAGAAAAUAGCCCCUUAGAAGAACUGUAUGAAGCUUGGAUCCAUUUUUCUGAGAAAAAAGAAAAAUCCCUCCAAUGAUUUGGUGAGGAGUUGAAGACAAAUAUCUUUAUUAUUUAUAAGUAUUCUGGCCAAGACAAUGAGUGUUGGAGUGGGAGGAUGAGGGAAUUUUAUGAUGAACGACAGCACAGCAAGAUGGACAGUAAGGCUCUGUCAUUGCCAUACCAGAUGUACAGAAGUGGCAUUUCAACUAAGGACACUGAAUAUGAAACAGACCUUGGAAAAGAGAGGAUGGAGUUAACUCUGAGAACAGAAAUCACCUACCUCUCUCCUCCCUAAACACACAGCUUACUGUCUAUAAUAAUAUACCCUUACUGGUCCAUUGUCCUCAUUAACAUAACUACAAUUCCAGGAGACUCUUGCCCAGGCAAAUUGCUUUAUUGUUCAUUACAGAGAGUUUUUGAAACAAAGAACCAUCAAUGCUUCAACAGAAAGCAUCAACAGUUUAUACCCCAAGAUCUUAGAACUCCUCACUUCCAAAUCCUCACUAUGCUAAUCCUAAACUAUUAUGUCAUGAUUUUUACCUAAACAAGACCCUGCAUGGAAAGAUCCUCUUUAUACAAUCUUUCAUUUUUUUGUCCUGGCUUUAAAAUGCAAAGCCCAUAUCCUUGGAAUUCCCUCUGUCUUGGGCAAAGUGUGACAGUUGGCCACCCUACUCCAAAAUCUCAUAAUUUUCCCACCUUGCCCCUCUAGAGACUAUCAAUCUCUGUUGAGGUGGUUCUCUCUUUCCAGGGUGAGCAAUAAACUCCUUGCCAGAGCUUUCCAUUGGGGGAGGAGGGUUUGAACUACUGCCAGAGACAAACAGAUGUAAACUAGAUGCAGGAGUUUGGAAAUUGAGCAGGGUUUGCAGUCUGGAAAAUUGCUCCACAAGAGACUGUCGUUGAACGAGUAGUCCUGAGUGAGUGGUCUAAGAGAACGUCAGAGUGAAAGAAAAUGCAGCCCACCUGGGUCAGCUGAAAAGGUAGAGAAUAAAAGGGAAAUGAAAUGCAGCUGCUAGUAACAGUUGAUUAAAUGAGGCUGGCAACUUACAUGGAGGCUGGAAGAGGAGAAAUGUGGGAGAGGCAGCAAGGAGAGAGAAGGAAACAUGAAGGAGGAGAAGAUUUCUAGAAGGAAAUGUAAGAGCUACAAAGGAGAAAGAUGAAUGAGAGACCCCACAAGAAAACAGCAGGGAAAAGAAGCUGCUUUCUGAGUUGAUGGUUGUUUCUAGUUUGGGGCUAUUAUGAAGAAAGCUGCUAUGAAGAACAUCCAUGUACAAAUCAUUUUAUGGACACACAUACUCAUUGCUCUUGGGUAAAUAUCUAGGAAUAUGAUUUAUGGAUCAUAGACUUGGACUAAAUUCUACACCACAGGCUCUCCUGGUUCUCAGGCCAUUGGAUUCAAACCAGAAUUUAUACCAUCAGCUCUCUUGGUUCUCAGGACUUUCAACUUUGACUGAUACUAUACCUUUGGCUCUCCUGGGUCUUCAGUUUUCCAACUGCUUCUCUUGAGCCUCUUAGCCUCCAUAAUCAUGUGAACCAAUUCUUUACAGUACAGUACAAAUCUCUCUCCCUCUCCCUCUCCCCUCCCUCAGCCCCCUAAAUUUGUUAGAACUGAUGAAUAAAAUUCAGUAAAGUAGGUUACAAAAUCAACAUACAAAAUUUAAUAGUGUUUCUAUAUGGUAACAAUGAACUAUCUGAAAAAAAUUAAGAAAACAAUUCCAUUUGCAAUAGCUAUAAAAAAUAAGAUAC
Molecule: long non-coding RNA, 2991 nt
Filed under: Homo sapiens (human)
Lineage: Eukaryota; Metazoa; Chordata; Mammalia; Primates; Hominidae
Description: HSALNT0378212
Source: RNAcentral